RNAcentral lists this ribosomal RNA (367 nucleotides) under uncultured Pseudomonas sp. Its description in RNAcentral is "bacterial SSU rRNA". It matches the Rfam family "Bacterial small subunit ribosomal RNA", at positions 1 to 371 of the family's 1533-position model. The record is from RNAcentral. Lineage: Bacteria; Pseudomonadati; Pseudomonadota; Gammaproteobacteria; Pseudomonadales; Pseudomonadaceae.
ACUGGAGUUUGAUCCUGGCUCAGAUUGAACGCUGGCGGCAGGCCUAACACAUGCAAGUCGAGCGGAUGAGAAGAGCUUGCUCUUCGAUUCAGCGGCGGACGGGUGAGUAAUGCCUAGGAAUCUGCCUGGUAGUGGGGGACAACGUUUCGAAAGGAACGCUAAUACCGCAUACGUCCUACGGGAGAAAGCAGGGGACCUUCGGGCCUUGCGCUAUCAGAUGAGCCUAGGUCGGAUUAGCUAGUUGGUGAGGUAAUGGCUCACCAAGGCUACGAUCCGUAACUGGUCUGAGAGGAUGAUCAGUCACACUGGAACUGAGACACGGGUCCAGACUCCGUACGGGAGGCAGCAGUGGGGGAAUAUUGGACAA